CAUCAAUUCUUUUCGGUCCGGAUCAGCAAGCUGUGGUGGCCACGAAGCGGAGAUAACGCCGCGCACGCGGCGGCCCCGAAGGGGCGAGGAGCGCAGCGACGAGUAAUCCCACCCUCUCCGCCA
Molecule: small RNA, 123 nt
Filed under: Pseudomonadota bacterium
Lineage: Bacteria; Pseudomonadati; Pseudomonadota
Description: RtT sRNA
Rfam family: RtT RNA
About the family: This family represents a bacterial cis-regulatory element known as RtT RNA. The exact function of RtT is unknown although it is thought that it may be involved in changing the cellular response in relation to amino acid starvation.
Source: RNAcentral